RNAcentral lists this ribosomal RNA (474 nucleotides) under uncultured bacterium. RNAcentral describes it as "partial 16S ribosomal RNA". It matches the Rfam family "Bacterial small subunit ribosomal RNA", at positions 28 to 507 of the family's 1533-position model. The record is from RNAcentral.
GACGAACGCUGGCGGCGUGCUUAACACAUGCAAGUCGAGCGGUAAGGCUCCUUCGGGAGUACACGAGCGGCGAACGGGUGAGUAACACGUGAGUAAUCUGCCCUUCACUUCGGGAUAACCACCGGAAACGGUGGCUAAUACCGAAUACGACCAGUCUUCGCAUGAGGUGCUGGUGGAAAGUCUUUUCGGUGAAGGAUGUGCUCGCGGCCUAUCAGCUUGUUGGUGGGGUAAUGGCCUACCAAGGCUUCGACGGGUAGCCGGCCUGAGAGGGUGACCGGCCACACUGGGACUGAGACACGGCCCAGACUCCUACGGGAGGCAGCAGUGGGGAAUAUUGGACAAUGGGCGAAAGCCUGAUCCAGCAACGCCGCGUGAGGGAUGACGGCCUUCGGGUUGUAAACCUCUUUCAGUACCGACGAAGCGCCCUGUCGGGUGGUGACGGUAGGUACAGAAGGAGGACCGGCCAACUACGUG